UGCCAUUUCGGUGGUGAUUAGUGGCGAACGGGUGAGUAACACGUGAGUAACCUGCCCCCCUCUUUGGGAUAACGUUCGGAAACGGACGCUAAUACUGGGAUAUGACUGCGCUUCNAUGGGGUGUGGUGGAAGUUUUUCGGUGGGGGAUGGGCUCGCNGCUAUCAGCUUGUUGGUGGGGUGAUGGCCUACCAAGGCGACGACGGNUAGCCGGCCUGAGA
RNAcentral lists this ribosomal RNA (218 nucleotides) under uncultured bacterium. Its description in RNAcentral is "16S ribosomal RNA". It matches the Rfam family "Bacterial small subunit ribosomal RNA", at positions 73 to 297 of the family's 1533-position model. The record is from RNAcentral.